UACGGAGGGUGCGAGCGUUAAUCGGAGUUACUGGGCGUAAAGGGCGCGUAGGCGGAUAUAAGAGUGUGAUGUGAAAGCCCCGGGCUUAACCUGGGAAGUGCAUCGCAAACGUUGUAUCUGGAGUAGAUGAGAGGGUGGCGGAAUUUCCGGUGUAGCGGUGAAAUGCGUAGAGAUCGGAAGGAACGUCGAUGGCGAAGGCAGCCACCUGGCAUAAUACUGACGCUGAGGCGCGAAAGCGUGGGGAGCGAACAGG
This 253-nucleotide ribosomal RNA is filed under the name uncultured bacterium. RNAcentral describes it as "partial 16S ribosomal RNA". It matches the Rfam family "Bacterial small subunit ribosomal RNA", at positions 524 to 776 of the family's 1533-position model. The record is from RNAcentral.